Molecule: ribosomal RNA, 434 nt
Filed under: uncultured bacterium
Lineage: Bacteria
Description: partial 16S ribosomal RNA
Rfam family: Bacterial small subunit ribosomal RNA
Source: RNAcentral
AGCGAACGCUGGCGGCACGCCUAACACAUGCCAGUCGAACGAACCUUUCGGGGUUAGUGGCUGACUGGUGAGUAACACGUGGGAACGUUCCUUUAGGUUCGGAAUAACUCAGGGAAACUUGUGCUAAUACCGAAUGUGCCCUUCGGGGGAAAGAUUAAUCGCCUUUAGAGCGGCCCGCGGCUGAUUAGCUAGUUGGUUGAGGUAAUGGCUCACCAAGGCGACGAUCAGUAGCUGGUCUGAGAGGAUGAUCAGCCACAUUGGGACUGAGACACGGCCCAAACUCCUACGGGAGGCAGCAGUGGGGAAUCUUGCGCAAUGGGCGAAAGCCUGACGCAGCCAUGCCGCGUGAAUGAUGAAGGUCUUAGGAUUGUAAAAUUCUUUCACCGGGGACGAUAAUGACGGUACCCGGAGAAGAAGCCCCGGCUAACUUCGUG